Molecule: long non-coding RNA, 11640 nt
Filed under: Homo sapiens (human)
Lineage: Eukaryota; Metazoa; Chordata; Mammalia; Primates; Hominidae
Description: PREDICTED lncRNA (TCONS_00187060)
Source: RNAcentral
CUGCGGAUCCUACAUCCGGGAAGCAAGCAGACGGGCCCUCCUCCCCUCCCUCGCCUGGCGCGCGGCGCCUGGGUUCUCAUCACCACGGGCCCAGUGCUCACCGUGCGCGGGGCUGUAGGAGACGCGCGCCCGCGCGUGAGCGGGGUUGGCAUAGUAGGGGUUGCCCUGCGAGUCGAGGUGAUUGAAGAAGACGUCCACCUCGUCUGGAGGCAGCAGCUGCGCGGGUUCCAUGUAGUUGUGCGCCAGGCCCGGGUGGUGUGAGUCGGGGUGCUGCGCAUUCAGCACGGCCGGGUGCGCCAUCCAGCGCGGCUGCUCGGGCGCCACCUCCAUGGCCGGCGGCGGCGGCUCAGGGUCUGGGUGCAGACGGCAACGGCCCUGCGCGAGGAAGGGGGAGUGAGGCGUGCCGCCAGCGCCUGACACCCCCCAAAGUCCCACCACGAGGUGUCCCGCACGCCACGGAGCCCCAGCCCAGAUCCGGCGAGAAAGAGCACCAGUCCCGGGUGGGAGGAAAGCCCAAGGCUCAAAACGAAAGGAAGGCGGGGGAGGGGGUUCAGCCACGCACACUCACGUGGUGACCCGCGGCUCCAGAAUCACACACCCGUGCACAUGGGGUCACGCCCGGGGACGGGUCCCGACACCAGUGACCCCAACAAACGCACAGAGCAGCACUUCAGUCAGACACUCACACUGAGCCCCCCCGCCCGGUAGACAAACACAUGAACACAGACUCAAAAGUUGGAGACAGGCGCCCGGGCACCCAGUGUGGCACUUGAUCCCAGCGACACGCACACACCCACACUUGGCGCCAGAUACACAUACUGAUCUCAACCCCGAAAACAUGCACACGCAGCCCCCUGAGCGCAGUACUAAGCGGCACAAUCAGGACCUCUCAACAAAGCACACCAAAGCAGUCGCCCGCAGCCUGGCCCCCCGCCCUAAGUCCCCCCAGAGUCCCCUCAAAGCUAGGAGCGCCCCAGGCCCCCAGCCGGCUCUCAAACCCCAAACUUACACACGCAGCCGUGGGGAGGGGAGGGACUCGGCCUCUGAGAGUGAAGGAGUUCCGGCGGGAGCCCCGAGGGCGACGGGCCCAGGGACAGCACGUCCGGAGGCUGGCGGGGCUUACAGGGUAGGAGCUGGGGGUAGAGUGCGCCUCGGCCUCGGGCCCUCCCGGCUCCGGCCCCUCGGCAUCCUCCGGCCGCCCUGGCGCCAGCUGCCGACUCCUGCACAGACAUGAAGCGGGGGCCGCGCACGCCUAAGAAGCCCAAGCCAGCCAAUCAACGCCGCGCGCCUCCCAGCCUCCGCCUCCCAUUGGCUGCGUCCGCAAUUCCCGAACCGCUGGACUCCGGGACUGACCCGCGGGCCGGCCCCCCUCAGCCGGCGGGCCCCCUCCCUGCGCGCUCCUGGCGGCCCCUGCUGCCAACGCGCCCCACCACUAAGGGACCCUCACCCCAAGGCCCGACCCCUGCAGCCCCUCUUGCGAACACUCCGGGAUCCCUCGAUGCUCUGGGCCUCCCUAGCAGUAACUAACCACCAACUGCCCCCUCCCCAGGAGCCCGGGCCGCACACCCUCUGGAUGGCCUCUCCCCGAGACCCUAACCCCGCCACGCUCCUUCACCGCUGAACGUGGUCAGUCCGAGCGCAGUUACCUACCCAGACCGUUCCCUCCCCUAGCUCGGGCGCUGUCUGGGUGGACUGGGGGUUGGGAUGGUUCGGACGACAGCGGCGGAACAGCAGGAGCCGAGAGGGGCAGAGAGGGGCAGGAACUACAGGGCUCUAGAGGGCACCUGGGCCUCGGACACGCGGCCGCUCAGGGCUGUGCUUGACCCAGUGGAGGUGGCCCGGCCGGUGGCUCCAGAAAGGGGGAGGGGGCACCCCUCCCCGGGCGUGGCCUUCGCAGGCCAACGGGCCCAAUUGCCUGGGGCGAGGCCGUGGAGACCCGGACUGGCGCCGGCGCCAGCUGGAGGGAGACGCCCCCGGGCAAGAGCUUACGAUUCUUCAUCAACUCGUAAAAUGAGAUCGCCGCGGAGCUCGAGCCUAUUUGGCGUCUCCGGAGACUAGCAAGACCCUCUGAAAGACACCGCGUCCCCAGGGAUAAUCCCCCGUGUCCGGCAAAGCUGCCCCGCUCGAGCGCGAACCCUGGGACCCAGCGCGGGAGGCAGACCAGCAGCUGGCCGCUGGGCUGUGAACGCCAGGACCGAGCGGAAGCUUCCCGCCCGGCCGCGAUCGGUGCCGCGGCUCUCAGGGAAGUGGCUACGCGCGUCCCUCGGGAAAGCAGAGUAAUUUGCCUGUUUCUGGCAAAUCUGAAGAUUGGAAUGCCACACGGCCCAGCCAUUCCUUUUCCAGGCAUAUGAGAAGCCCUCACACAUGAGCAAGAAAGAGAUGUGGCCAAAGACAUUCAUGGAGCCCUGUUUGUUAAAACAGAGAAAAAGAAAUUAAGAAAUACCCAGCCUGGGCAACAUAGGGAGACCCUGUCUCUACUAAAAAUAAAAAUUUAUACUUGGGAGGCUAAGGCAGGAGGAUCACUUGAGCUCAGAAGAUCGAAGCUUGCAAUCAGCUGUGAUCGUGUCACUGCAUGCCAGCCUGGGUGACAGAGAGUGAGACCCUGUAUCAAUAAAGAAAGAAAGAAAGAAAAGAAACAGAAAUAAACUUAGGACACAGCAGACGGCCCAUCCUGAGGGUACCACAUAGCAGAUGCUGGGACCUUUUUUCAGGUGGACGCCACAUGACCUUUCCUUUGCAGGCAUCCAUGCUGAUGUUCACAAGGCACACAGCAUUUCAGCUGAAGAAAGAACUGGCAGGAUUUUCAUCACGAAAGGGCACUGUCUAUCGUUUAUGAAAAUGAAGCAUAUGAAGUAAAAGUUUGGAAACAGAUGGAAUUAAAUCUUCUGACAGAUUUUAAAAUAAGAUCUAAAAAAGAGCAAGACAUGCUCUUGGAUGGGGAAACUUAAUAUCAGAAAAAUGUCAAUUUUCCCAUUUUUUCCAUAUAAAUUUAAUGUAAUUCAAAUUCCAUUACCAACAGGGUGAUUUUUUAAAAAACUAGAUAAAAUGAUCUGAAAGAUUAUGCAGCAGAAUAAAUGCCCAAGAAUUACCAGGGAAGACUGGAAAAAAGACUGCUGUGGGGGUUUUGCCUUCCUGGAAAUAAGACCAUACUGCAAAGUCACUGUAAUCAGAUCAAUAUGGCAUUGGCAGAGGACUAGACAAUGGAAAGGAAUGGAGAAUACAAAAAUAAGUUUCAGGAUAUAUGAGAAUGAGAUAUAUGCCAAAGGUAGUAUUUUGAUUCGGUGGGAGAAGGGCAGACUGUGAAGUAAGUGGUACCAGCCACAACUGAAUAUCCAUCUGGGAUAAAAUAAAAUUGCACUCGUCUUAGAGAUCCAAAUCAACUUCAGAUGGAUUAAAACUUUGAAUGUAAAAAACAUAAAUGACUAACAGUCCUGCAAAAUAUCUUGGAGACAACCUGUGCCAUCUGGAGAGUGGGAAGAGCACAUGCAAAGGCCAAGGGGUGGAGCAGCCCAGCAUGUUCUGGAAAAGGUAGGGCUCCCCAAGGCUGGGAUGAUGGUGGAGACCUGGGUGUGUGGGAGCACAGGGGUGGGGGCCCGUGGGCCAGGAAUGCACAGAGAGGGGCUGGUGCUCUGCCGCAGGCCCAAGCCCCCAAAGCCCGGUCAUUCCCAGCACCAUCUUCACGGGUUUCUGCCCAGGUCUUUCUGCUGCAUCUCUUCCUCCCCCGAUUCCUUAAUCAUUUUUUUUAAAAUCAGUUCAUGUCUUUGUAAACCAAAUUAUUUCUAAAAGGCAAAUUUAUAUUACUGCCGAAAUCAAGGGUCAGUGAGCUAGUUGUGUAUGUUCUGAAUCACAUGGAAAUAAAUGCAUCGAACAUUAAGAAGGAAAGAGUGUCUAGCGUUAGCUACCUUGGUGUGCUGGGCUCAAUGUGCAUUUUGGAAGUUGCCCUGCCACCUUGUGGGCAGGAGGGACUGGAUGAGUAGGGAGUCGGAGUGAGCAUGAAGGUGACCAGAAAGUCCAUUCCUUAGAAAGUGAGGAGGUGGCAGCCAGGGUCCAGGCCUGGGCCCUGCCUGCCCCCUCCUCACACACCAGCCUCCCGUCUGUCAUUCUAGAACCUGACCACUUCCCGCCUCAACAAGCAGCCGGCCUGGUCCUAGCUCUCGCCUGGACUACUGGAAUAGCCUCCUUGCUGGAAGUCCUCAACUUCCCCACUUUCUGUUCAUAGUACAGUGGCCGGCGGGGGCCCGUGAGGAUAGAAGUCAGGCCAGGUGCAGUGGCUCACGCGUGUAGUCCCAGCACUUCAAGAGGCCAAGGUGGGUGGAUUGCUUGAGCCCAGGAGUUCAAGACCAGCCUAGGCAACACAGUUAAACCCCAUCUCUACAGAAGAUACAAAAGUUAGCUAGGCGCAGUGGCGCACGCCUGUAGUCCCAGCUACUUUGAAGACUGAGGCGGGAGGAUCACCUGAACCCAGAAGGUCAUGGCUUCAGUGAGGCUGAUUGUGUCACUGCACUCCAUCCUGGGCAACAGAGUGAGACCCUGUCUCAAACAAAAACAAAAAAAGAUGUAAGUCAAACCUGUCCCAUCUGCGCCACACCCUCCCGCAGCACCCGGGUCCCUCUUGGCCUCUUUGGUCUCAUUCCCUUUGCUUGCUCCACUCCAGCCCCACUGGCUUCCUUCUUGUUUCUCAAACAGCUGGCACACAUCCACCCCAGAACAUUGGCACUAGCUGUCCCUGUACCCAGAUACCACAUGGCUUCCUCAUACUUUGGGCCUGGUCACCUUCUUGGACCACCUCCUGAUGAACUGUGGGUGACAGCUGGAGCACAGGUGGGUUCUGGAAGCCCUGCAGCCUGGGGUCAGGAUGAAGAUUACCCAGGGCCAGCAGGCAAGCCUGAGAGGCCGGUCUCCAGGCUUUGCAGCUCCCGGCAAGAGGUCCCAGAGGUCUUGCCCUUCCAGAGAUGAAUGCUUGAGGCCCAGAACAUGGGGCCAUCCGGAGCCAAGGCCUGGGAUGUUAGAGGAGGGGAACUCGGGACUCCAUGCAAGGACCACGGGUCAGCCCUGUGCCUGUCCAGACCACCUGCAUGGGACACAGCAGGGGCCCAGAACUGGGCAUCCAGUGGAUCACUGCAGCAGCAUCUGUGUGUCCAUAUCCAGGUAGCCGCACCCAGAUUUUCCCUCCAGGGACCACCCCCUCCCACUCUCAGUUCAAGGUGGUCCAUGUGGAGCACCCACCUCUGGCCCAGCCAGUCAGAGCCAUCCUGGCUGAUUGAUUCUGGGCACAUGACUCUGGAGGAUCCAUGGAGAGUCCAACCUGGAAACUUGGCAAGAAUCCUCGGGGACUGCCCUCCUGCUGGGGUCAUGUGGCACUGGGAGCUGCGGUGGCCAUCUUUACUGCCACCCAGGAGAGCCUGCCGGAGAGUGAGACCAACACAGAGCAGCAGAGACAGAGACAGACUGGCUCCCGAGCGUUCAGCCCCAGUGCCGGAAGCCAGCUAGAGCCCUGGCCUUUUCAGUGACAUGAGCCAAUGACAACUCCCAGUUCUCUCCCUCCGGUCAAUCUGAAGCCGGGUUUUUGCCUCUUACAACUGAAAGAGUCCUGGUGGUCACAGGCAUGGCUGAUUAAAGAUGCCCACCAGGUCUUUGUUACACCCUCAUAUACUUGGGGCCUUGAAUGUGGGUGUGCUCUGAGAUGACUUGACCAGGAGAAUACGGUAGCAGUGACACUGCAGUUUCCAGCCCAGGCCUGAAGAGAUGAUUAGCGCCCACUCCUUGCUUCUUGAAAGUCUCUCCUUGGGAGUCCUGGGCUGCUAUGUUAAAAAUCCAACUGCCCUGAGGCCACCAUGAUGUGAGGAGGCUGGAGCCAGGUGGAGAGGCCAUGGUGGCGAAAGAGCUGCCGGACCAGUUCCCAUUGCCCCAGCCCCCAGCCAUCUGAGUCAUCCCCACUGAGGACACAGAUAUCACAGAGCAGAUACGAGCUAUCCCUGCACCGCCCAUCCAGAUUCUUUACCCAGUUUGUGAGAUAUAAUAAUAAUGAACUGUUUUAGGCCACUGAGUUUUGGGGUCAUUUUUAAAGCAGCAAUAGACAGAUGGAACAAUAGUAAUGAGCAAAGGGCCACAUAUACCUAUUGGAUUGGGAAGCAAGACAGAGAUGGGGCUGCCACUGUGCGCAGGAUCGACUCACCUCCUUGGGAAUUCUUAUACACGCCCGUAUGAGUGCAGGAUGCAUGAGUAGGAUAGUGGAGCCGAAAGGGUCUUGAUAGCAGAUGGCCUUGAAUUUGAGUCCCUACUCUGCUGUAAGAUCAGCUCUGAGUCCCAGGGCUAUGUUAUUUCCCCUCCUCGAGCCUCAGUUUCUUCACCUAUCAUAUAAAAAUAUUAGUACUGUGUUGCUAGGAUGAGAUUCAGCUGCACAUAACAAGGAGAUACAAAUUUUUUUUUCUGUCAUGUGAAAAUUCACAGGUAGGCAAUCCAGGGCUACUAUAUCACUCCCUGGUGUCAGAAAGCAAGGUUGGCUUUCGUCGCCUCACAUUCCAAGAUGGCUGUUACAGCCUCACCAUUGUAUCUACAUUCCAGGGAGCAGCAAGGAGGAAGUGAAUAAAGAACAAAAUGUUCACAUCAGCUGUCUCUUAAGGAAGUCCCCUGAAAGCUGACACAUCCACUUGUAUCCCAUUGGCUAAAGCACAGUCACAUGACCAUAUCUAGCUGCAAAGGAGGCUAGGGAAUGUAGUCUUGCUCUGGGAAAUCAUGUGCUCAGCUAAAAUUCUAUGGAGGAAUAAUAGCUUUUGGAAGAUACCUGACAGUCUCUGCCAAAAGUAUCUAUGUCAAGAGUUUAUGUAAUGACUGACGUGAUUUUGAAGAGGUUUUGUUUUGAACCUCUGCUGCAUGCCAGUUUCCACAAAACUAACUGCAAAAGACAUAAUCAGGUCUUUUGUAGGACAUGGCACAGGGGCUGACACAUAGUAGGUGCCCAGUAAAUGAGGCGUCCUUGUUUGCUCUUCUAGCUGCACACCUUGCUGCUCUCCUCAAUGGUGUUUCUCUGCCCCAACCCUCCAAGGAUGAGCUCCCUCCCCAAGAGGAUACCCUGUUUCAUUUUCUUCACAUCAUUUACCAUAACUAUUUGUUUCUUAAUUUGUUCAUCAUCCAUCUCUCUCCACUCUAAUAUACACAACACGAAGAGAGGGAGAGUAUCUCUAGGGUCCCACCAAGGAAAUAGAAGUCACUUGAAAAGUGUAAAGCUUAAUUUAAAAGUUAAAAUUCAGAGAUGUGAUUGUGCAGGUGAUGGAAUUGCUAAGAACAGGGGACAAUGAGGCAGCACAGAAAUUAGGAGCAAGAAGCUGUUACCUCCCCAGGGUUGGAGGGGCAAUGGGAGGAGAUGGCAUUACCAGAGCCCAAGGCCUGGGUGACACAGGGAGACUCAGCAGGCCUGUCCAGUGGGAGCUGUAGCUGUAGGAAAGACAGAGCCACACCAGAGAUGCCACCUGAGAUGAAGAGGAAGGGGGAGAAUACCCUGGCUCCUCCCUUGUUCACUCCAGGGCCUCUCAUUGGCUGAAUCCAGCAGGAAUCCAGCUGGCCUCACACCUUGGGGCUAAGCUCCCCUCCCUGAUGGGUGACACAGAGCCAAGGGAUGGGAUAACAAGAGCUAAGGGCAAACUAGCCCGGGGCUGGCACUGGUGACUUCAUCUGUCUUGUUAUCUUCUGCAUCUGGAGCUUCAAAGGCACAGCCUGGCACACGGUAGGACCUCAAUAAACAGUGGAUGAAUAGAUUGGGGUUCUCAACUCACCUUAGCACCUAUAGAAGCUGUUUAGAGUCCACAAAACAACUCUUGUACCUGUGAGGGCUCCUAGGUGCUAGGCCCACAAAGGGAGGCAUGUUAUGGCCGUGGCAUUCUGCUUGGCCAGGAUCCGAGAGGAGCCUCCCAAUUGGAGGAUUUAGCCCAAGUUGCUUCAUUCCCUGUCCAGUGGAGCCUGGCCUCUCUCUCAGCCUCCAUCAACACCCAGAAUCCUCCAUGAUGAGCUCCUAUCCCACCAGGGCAGAGAGUGGGCAUGUCCUCAUCAGGGAGAGAAAGGACAGAGACAGACAGACAGGAAGAGAGAAACAGCCAUGCAGCCAGGGCUGGGGCUCUGCUUGCCAUUGCCCUCUAUGCACUCUAACUGUGGCAAAACCUGUGCAAAGUACAUGGAUGCUACCAACCACUGGCAAAGGAAUAGGAAGCAUAUUCCUGUGGCCCGGCAAAUGCGUGGGGAUGGCUUCAUCCACAUCCUGCAGGAAGAAAUUAAAUUAAUUGACAGGUCCAAAUGUGAGUGGACAGGUGGGGCAGCAGGAGCUCUGCACGCCACUGGUGGGAGUGUUUUUUGGAAAGUGCACUUUGUAAGAGAAUUUGGCAACACUAACAAGGACGUGUGUACAGGUGAGCUCAGCAGUUCCCUGCACAGGUAAAAUCUCAGCAGCAUCCACUGAUAUAAACACAACCACAGUAACAACGCCUGGGAGCCACCCAGGUCCAUUCACAGGAGAAAGGAUAAAUGAACCAUGUCAUGCCCACACAAUGGAAUACUCGACAGCAAUGAAGACGAACAACAGUGUCACGCAUCAACGCAGAUGUACCUCCCAACAAUACUGUGAGAGAAAAAGGCAAGUCACCAAAGAACACGUAUGUAUGAGGCCAUUCAAAUAGCUCUUCUGGAUUUCACUCCUGGGGAUGUCAAGGACCCACUAGAGUUUCCAAGCCAUGUUCACAUGUCACCUCCUUGACUAAAGGGACAUGACCAAUAAAUGCAAUGUGGGGUCCUGAACUGGAUCCUAGAGCAGGACAGAAAUAGCUAUAAAGGACAUUCUUGGGACAAUUGACGUUUAGAUAUGGAUUGUGGGGUUCGAUCAUAGUAUCAUAUCAAUGCAAAUUGUCCUAGCUCUGAUAAGCAUAUGUGUUUAUGUAAGAGAAUGUCCUUGUUUUUAGGGAACAAACACUGAAAUAUACAAUAGUAGAGAGGCAUCAUGUCUCCACCAUACUCUCAGAUGGUUCAGGAGAAAUAUGCGUGUGUCUCCGUACAUAUUAAUAUAGAGAGAAUGGUACAGCCAGUGGGACAAGUUGUAAGCAAUUGGUGAAUCUAGGUAAAGGGUAUAUGGGAAAUUGCAUCAAAAUUAAAAGUUAUGAACAUGGGGGAGAAAACCCAGUUCUUCUAUAAAAACAGCCUCCAGCCUCUCCCUCCAGCACAACCUGUCCCCACACGUGGGGCACCCGGCACCCAUGCUCUGGCUCUUGUCUCUCUGGGUCUUAGUCCCACUUAGCACCCCACACCCAAAGGUCAUGUUUUCACAGAUGUGUACCCUCAAGACUAAACACACACUUGAGGCAUUCAUGUGACUAUACAUAUUUAUGGAAAAAGAAAAUUCUUGGGCUCACAAAACUGAACGCUCCAGGGUGGACUGUCUCAGGUGGCCUUAAUCGGGGUGCUGACAACAUCCAGACGAGCACGCAGGCUUCUCUCCCUGCCACGGCGGUGCCAUUCUCCAACGGACUCUGCCGCCGUGGCUGCAAGAUGGUGGCAGCAGCUCCAACCCCUGCACCCUUUUGUGGCCAAGUCCAGUGGGAAGAAUGUGAGGUCUUCUUCCAGAAGCUUCUGCAGAUUCUCAUUAGCUUCAGCUGGGUCAUGUGUCUGUCAUCCCUGACCUGGCCUCUGGGGUCAGGAAGGCACCAUGGUCAGACUGGCCAGGCCUGAGCCCCAAGCCCCAAGUCCAACCUCUUCACAAAGCACAGCUGGCUGGGGCAGAGCGGUGCCCCCAGUGGAAAAUCAAGAUGCAGUUUCAGAAGGAUGGAAAUGGAUGCUGGGUGGCGAAACGGCAGAAACCCACCCCGGCCCACGCCCUUGCCUGUCCAAAAUCCAUGCACAUGCUUCUUCCCAUGCUCCCUCUGGGGGAGGUGUGCUAGGCAGCACAGAUGUAUGCACAGCUCCCCACAGAUGCCACCCUCAUCCUUGGAAACUGUCAAUGCCCAUGAAUUUGUUACCUCACGUAGCAAAAGAGACUUUGCAGAUGUAAUUAAGGCUGCUCGUCAGUUGACCUUAAAAUAGGGAGAGUGUCUUGGAUCAUCCACAUGGGCUCAGUGGGUCACACAAGCCCUUAAAAGCAGAGAACUUUCCAUGGCUGGUGGCAGAGGUAGAAAGGACAUUGGAAAGAGACAGCAUGGGGGAAAGGGAGAUUUAAAGCUUGGGAAGGAAGGAUGGAAAGCGCGACUGCUGCUUUGAAAACAAAGGAAGCCUCAGGCCACGUAGCAAAGAAAUGGAGACCCCAGGCCUGCAAUCAUAAGCGACUGAAUUCUGCUCACAACCCUAAUGAGCACCUCCGGGAAAGAGCCCAGCCUGCCAACACCUCGAUUUUGCCUUGUAAGCCCCUAAGCAGAAAAUACAGUUGAGGCACUCUCUGCCCAGACUUGCAGUGCACAGAAACUGUGAUGCUAAAUGGAUGUUGCUUGAAGCUGCUCAGUUGGUGGCACUUUGUUACAGCAGCAAUGGAAAAUGAAUACUGGAGGUAACACUGUCUCUCCCAGUGACAGGUCCGGCUCCAGGAGCUGGACCCCAGUGACCGUGUUACAGUCUAGGCUUAAGGCCCCCCUCACUCCCAACCUCACCUGUGCAGAGAGGGAAGGAAAAGUGCCAUGUCAACCCCCAGUAAGGGAAAGGAGGAUGGGAGACCCCUAGCCUGCAGCACAUCCAAAGCCCUGCUAGAAAAAUACUGAGAAAUGUUAGACAUUGAGCUACCACAGGACCCAGGAUUACAACUCCUGGGUAUCUACCCAAGGCAAAUGAAAACAUGUGUCCCCAGAAAAAUUUGCACACAAUGUUCAUAGCAGCAUUAUUUAUAAUAAUUGAGAAAUGGGAAUAGCCCAAAUGCCCAUCAGCUAAUGAAUAGAUAAACAAAAUAUGGCAUAGCUAUACAAUGGAAUAUUAUAUGGCCCUAAAAAGUAAUGAAGAAGCCAGACAUAAAAGGCUUUGUGUGAUUCCAUUUCCAGACAGAAAGCAGAUUAGUAGUUGCUGCAGGCUGGCGGGAGGGAGGAAUGGAAAGUGGCUGCUAACAGGAACACGGUUUAUUCUGGGGGCAAUGAAAGUGUUCUAAACUUAGAUGUGAUGAUGGAUGUACAACUGCGUGAAUAUACUAAAAAGCAUUGAAUGGCAUUGAAUGGUUCAUCUUAAAUGGGUGAAUUUUAUAGUGCGUGAAUUAUAUAGAUAAAGAUGUAAAAGAUUUGUUUAACAUCAAUAAAGAUGUAAAAAAAAAAAUGUUGAGUUUCUUGGGCAGCCAGUUCAACUGCCCAGCCCUGCCCUCUAGGAGGAAAACGAGUACUCCCUGCCCACCCUUCACCAUUCCCACAUCUGAAGUGGGCAUUGGGGAUCUCAGUUCUCUAGUGGCCAGUUCCUAAUGGUGCAGAUUCUAGACUGCAGAGAUUGCUUGGGCUUGGAAAUAACAUCACAGACUUUUUCAAAAAAAUUUUUGUCUUGUUUUUGUGUUUUGUUUUGCUUUUUGUUUGCUUGUUUGUUUGUUUUUACCAGACUUGAAGUUUUGGGGCAGUACAACUCCAUCAAAAAAAUUUUGACCUCAAGUGAUCUGCCCAUUUCAGCCUCCCAAAGUGCUGGGAUUACAGGCAUGAACCACCGCAC